GUCUUGCCGAAAUUUCGACAGAGUUUCCCCUAUAAUUGGACGUAACCCUUUGCAAGAAAAAUAAACCAGCAACAACACACAAGGCCUCAGGCCCAUAAUAACAAUUAUAAUGCCUAUUCGGGACCUAUAAAAAUCCUAAUCUAGGUCUAAUCCUCCAACUCCUGCUCGAGUCUCUAAUUACUUUACGGUUCAAAUAUUUAACUUUAGCAUUUCAAAAAUUAUAAAA
Molecule: unclassified non-coding RNA, 226 nt
Filed under: Hevea brasiliensis (rubber tree)
Lineage: Eukaryota; Viridiplantae; Streptophyta; Magnoliopsida; Malpighiales; Euphorbiaceae
Source: RNAcentral